Molecule: ribosomal RNA, 397 nt
Filed under: uncultured bacterium
Lineage: Bacteria
Description: partial 16S ribosomal RNA
Rfam family: Bacterial small subunit ribosomal RNA
Source: RNAcentral
AUACGUAGGGGGCGAGCGUUGUCCGGAAUGAUUGGGCGUAAAGGGCGCGUAGGCGGCGCGGUAAGUCUGGAGUGAAAGUCCUGCUUUCAAGGUGGGAAUUGCUUUGGAUACUGCCGCGCUUGAGUGCAGGAGGGGUUAUCGGAAUUCCCGGUGUAGCGGUGAAAUGCGUAGAGAUCGGGAGGAACACCAGUGGCGAAGGCGGGUAACUGGACUGCAACUGACGCUGAGGCGCGAAAGUGUGGGGAGCAAACAGGAUUAGAUACCCUGGUAGUCCACACUGUAAACGAUGAAUGCUAGGUGUAGGGGGUAUCGACCCCUUCUGUGCCGCAGUCAACACAAUAAGCAUUCCGCCUGGGGAGUACGGCCGCAAGGUUGAAACUCAAAUGAAUUGACGGGG